AAAGUUAUUUAUAAAAUAAUUUUCAAAACUAUUAAAUUUGAUUAAUUUUUAAAUAAAAUUGUUAAAAUAAUAUAACUAUUCAAAAAUUAAAAAAAUAUUAAUAAAAAAGUUAUAUUUGUAAAGCACAUAACACUAUUUUAUAAUUUUUUUAUGGAAAAACUUCAAAUACCCCCUUGUGGUUUCACUUUUUCUCACUUUAGUGUCCUGUUGUUUAAAGUGUAUCUAAGUUAAUACUCUGUGAUUUUGCACUUUUUCACUUUAAUACCCUGUGAUUUAAAGUAUAUCAAGUUAGUACCCUAUAGUUUCGCACUUUAUCAUUUUAGCACUCUGUGAUUUAAAAACCACAGGGUACUAACUUGAUACAAAAAUAAAAUCAUACAAUACUAAUUUGAUACAAAAAUAAAACCAUAGAGUACUAACUUGAUACAUUUUAAACCACAUGGUACUAAAGUGAUAAAGUGAGAAACCAUAGGAUACUAACUUGAUACACUUUAAACCACAAGGUACUAAAAUGAAAAAGUGCGAAACACAGGGGUUUUUUUAAAGUUUUCCCUAUUUAGUUAUAAUUAUUUAAUUUUAAAAUUUUAAUAAUUAUAUAUUUUUAUC
RNAcentral lists this long non-coding RNA (606 nucleotides) under Ananas comosus (pineapple). Its description in RNAcentral is "long non-coding RNA (ACOM_LNC010946)". Lineage: Eukaryota; Viridiplantae; Streptophyta; Magnoliopsida; Poales; Bromeliaceae. The record is from RNAcentral.